AAUGAUCAACUACUGAGGUACAAAAAAAUAUGUGCAGGUACAGAAAAUCCCUACUUACUACUCCCUGUGCUGGUCUGAGGAUUGAACUAUCACAUUUUCCACACAUCUAUUAUGCAGCAGCUCACCUCAAGUUAACCUUUCCAAGAGAUUUUUGGCAUGAUGGAUUGAGCAAAUGUUCCAGCAUGCGAUACGCUUGUGUCUUACUCACAGUUGCCACAUCCAGUUCGUCUGGGAAGUGGACCAGUGUGAUAUCCAUAACGCAUGAAAGUAUUCACAAAAAUCCUCUCCAAACACCAAAUGAAUAAGUCUAGUUAUAAAGUGGCUUCACCAUGCAAUACUUGUUGUUGUUGUUUUAAAGAGUGCUAUAACUCAACCUGUAUGCUCUGCUGGUGGAUCUGUACCAUACUACUAUUGCUGCUACUGAGUAGGGGCAGCCCUACUAUUGGGCAAAGCGAGACAGCUGCCUCAGGCAGCAGACGCUGAAGAAUUGGGAGUGGCUGUGAGAAGUUGAAGAAUAGAGCUCUGUGCCACACAGCUUGCCCUGAACCUCUUAAGCCAGCCUGCAGUGAAGGACACUAUCACCAGUAUUGAAAUAAGAGAUGAUCAAGAUGCUGAAGUGAGAUGAAAAGAGAAACAAAGGAAAAACCCCUGGCAAACUUGGGUCCUGGGUAAGGGGACCUUACAAAAUGGUUCUCUCAGUUGAAGUGGUGCAGUAUGCUAUAUUACCUGAUUCCACUUCAUAUAAGCCAGGCUUUAAGGCAGGGAUGGACAACCAAUGGCCCUGAAGAUGUUGUUGAACUA
Molecule: long non-coding RNA, 801 nt
Organism: Podarcis raffonei (Aeolian wall lizard)
Lineage: Eukaryota; Metazoa; Chordata; Lepidosauria; Squamata; Lacertidae
Exons: 3
Source: RefSeq, a predicted model, not a curated record